Long non-coding RNA from Ochotona princeps (American pika), 1040 nucleotides. RefSeq lists it as uncharacterized. The record is from RefSeq and is a predicted model, not a curated record. Lineage: Eukaryota; Metazoa; Chordata; Mammalia; Lagomorpha; Ochotonidae. The transcript has 3 exons.
UGGAUAUUCAGGUUGAUAAUGCAUGAAAUUGAAAUAAUAUCAUAAAUGGUUGCCAAUUUUCUUCCUCCAUUGUAAUUAAUAGCCAUGAUUUGCUUUGUCUUUACAUGUAAACCUCGACAUAUGAAUAUGCAUGUUGCCCAUGACGGAGACAUGCAGUUGCUCUUGCUUUUCCAACAAGUGCAACAGAACAGAUGGUGACAAGAUCUUGAUUGAUGACGUCUGGAUCGGCUGUCAGCAGUCUUGAAAGUUUGAUUUCAAACAGAAUCAAACAGAUGUGGAGCAACUGGAACCCUCAUACGUUGCCGGCACAAGUGUAAAAUGAUGCUGCCACUGUGCCGAACACUUCGGCUCUUCCUCGAAAUAUACAACAACAAAAAGAGUUUAGCCUGGAAAAAUCUGAGUGUGAUGCAUUCCUCCCAUAAUACCACCAGGAAGUUCUCGUUCAUCCUGUAUCCACAUGGCCACACAUUCCAAGUCCAUGCAAUGUAAAUGAAUGAAGACUUGUCAUUUUUUUUCUUAGAGUUUCUUGGAAAGCUCGCGUGUCAUGCAUCAUCCAAGACUGUGCUUUUUAGCUUAAAAAAGUGUCAAAAGGUAGCCCAAGGAAACAAAGCCAAAGAAAGAUAUUAGGAGGAUAUUGUUUAAAAAAAAAAACCUUUAAUAGAAACAAAACCAUGAUUGGAACUGUUCAUCCAUGGAAUGAACAUAUUAGCAUAGAUUGAGAGUUAGGGAUCAGUGAGGUCUAUUAGUUGAGUUGAUUCCUGUGAUCUGGUAAAAUUCAAACAGCUUUUCCUUUUUAUUGGCCCAUGGGCUGCCUAAGUGGACACCACUAGAACCUUUGGAAAGACUGAAAGCAAACCCAUACUUUAAAAUUUACAACAGGGCCAUGCUGGGGAUGGCUCCGCAUGGCUUUAGUGUCUUGGCUUUUAGAGUCAUGGGUUCCUGAAAUUCAUAUGUGUAAUAAUAAUAAUAUUAAUCACUUACCAAUUUACCAGAAGUGAAACAGUCAAGGUAUAGUUAAGUGAUUCGUGUAAUGUCACAUG